Molecule: ribosomal RNA, 923 nt
Filed under: archaeon enrichment culture clone C1-38C-A
Lineage: Archaea
Description: bacterial SSU rRNA
Rfam family: Archaeal small subunit ribosomal RNA
Source: RNAcentral
UUCCGGUUGAUCCUGCCGGGAGGUCACUGCUAUUCGGGGUUUCGAUUAAGCCCAUGCGAGUCGAGAGGGGUUCGGCCCUUCGGCGUACUGCUCAGUAACACGUGGAUAACCUGCCCUAAGGGAAGGGGAUACCCUCGGGAAACUGAGGAUAAUACCCUAUAGGUUACCGAUGCUGGAAUGCUCGGUAACUCAAAGUUCCGGCGCCUUAGGAUGGAUCUGCGGCCGAUUAGGUAGUUGUUGGGGUAACGGCCCAACAAGCCCGUAAUCGGUACGGGUUGUGGGAGCAAGAGCCCGGAGUUGGAUUCUGAGACACGAAUCCAGGCCCUACGGGGCGCAGCAGGCGCGAAAACUUUACAAUGCGGGCAACCGUGAUAAGGGAACCUCGAGUGCCUGUACAUGCAGGCUGUCUGGGUGUCUAAAACACACCCAAAGAAAGGGCCGGGCAAGACCGGUGCCAGCCGCCGCGGUAAUACCGGCGGCUCGAGUGGUGGCCACUUUUAUUGGGCUUAAAGCGUUCGUAGCUGGGUUGUUAAGUCUCUUGGGAAAUCCGGCGGCUUAACCGUCGGGCGUCUAAGAGAUACUGGCAAUCUUGGAACCGGGAGAGGUGAGGGGUACUUCGGGGGUAGGAGUGAAAUCCUGUAAUCCUCGAGGGACCACCUGUGGCGAAGGCGCCUCACCAGAACGGCUUCGACAGUGAGGGACGAAAGCUGGGGGAGCAAACCGGAUUAGAUACCCGGGUAGUCCCAGCCGUAAACGAUGUGCGUUAGGUGUAUCGACGACCACGAGUCGUCGAGGUGCCGAAGGGAAACCGUGAAAACGUACCGCCUGGGAAGUACGGUCGCAAGGCUGAAACUUAAAGGAAAUUGGGCGGGGGAGCACCACAACAGGUGGAAGCCUGCGGUUUAAUUGGAGUCAACGCCGGG